AAAGAAGCGAUCUGAUUGGUUGCUAUGGGCAACUCAGCAACUUUUCCUCUGGACAAGUUUGGAUAAAUCUCCCCCAAUUUAGGAAUGCACGUGAAGAGAGGACGGCUUGAUUCAUACAGCUGGCGGGCCAAUUCUACUAUCUGAACCCCCCUGGGGCUUUGUGUACAUCAGACUGACAUCCUUCUGAAAAAGCAAAGCUUAGCCAUGAUGUCUGAAAGCCCCCGUGGAAGUUCUCAGCAGCCAACAGUAAAUUUGGAGUCUGUCUUUCUCGCUCCAUCUUUAACAAGUGGGGCAAAGGGAGAAGUUGGAUUAAAGAAUAAUAUUGAAAGCCAAACUGGGCACUUCCUGUCUUUUAGAUCUUCUAACAUGUAAAUUGAGCAGCACAAAGGGGAUUAACGGUCAGAAUUGUGUGAGUGAACUGCAGG
Molecule: long non-coding RNA, 425 nt
Organism: Hyla sarda
Lineage: Eukaryota; Metazoa; Chordata; Amphibia; Anura; Hylidae
Exons: 3
Source: RefSeq, a predicted model, not a curated record